AAAAAUUAUUCUGAGGGUUGUGGAAGCUGGUUUUCACAAUAUCCAAUAUUUCAGGUUCCACAUAAAAAUACCAGUGAGUCACCCGAAUCUUGCUCUUUCUGAAAACCUGGAAUGACAAAUCCACAAAGGAUUUUACAUGUGUUCACCACAGCAUCUCUUCUUUACAGGCACAUUAACAGAAGAAUGCAUGAAGCAACAAGGGGUUUUCAAGCACAGGGGCUUCAUAUAGCCCCCUAAUUGGGAUCCAGGAGAUACAUUCCAUCACAAACAAAUUUAGAGAGCCAUAAAAUGUGUUGCCUCCAGAAGUAAUAUGUUUCUGAUCUUUGGAAAUAUCCUUGAUGAGGAUAUUGGAGAGAAGAUGUCACUGCCAGAUGAACGGUUAGAUCGAAUACACAAGUAUCACUGAGCAUGUUCCAGGGACUGCAUCGUGUGUCAGUUUAAUACAUCAAAUUGCUGUUAAAUUUGAAAAUAAUGAUGGUAUAAGACACAAUUGCAUGGAGAAGAACAGUGGCCAUUUUUUUUAAUGUUAAAUUUAUUGCAGUACACUGCUCUAAACAUCUCAAAGCAAA
RNAcentral lists this long non-coding RNA (569 nucleotides) under Felis catus (domestic cat). RNAcentral describes it as "lncRNA (ENSFCAG00000049901.1)". The record is from RNAcentral. Lineage: Eukaryota; Metazoa; Chordata; Mammalia; Carnivora; Felidae.